AGCCACUGCAUCUAGCCUCCAUGUCACUAUAAUGCCUUACACUAUUCACCACCUUCUUUUUUUUGAGACAGAGUCUUGCUGUGUCACCCAGGCUGGAGUGCAGUGGCAUAAUCUUGGCUCACUGCAACUUCUCCCUCCUGGGUUCAAGCAAGCAUGUCUGGCCAAUUUGUGUAUUCUUAGUAGAGACGGGGUUUCAUCAUGUUGGCCAGGCUGGUCUCAAACUCCUGACCUCCAGUGAUCCACCUGCCUCAGCCUCCCAAAGUGCUCGGAUUACAGGCGUGAACCACUGCACCCAGCUGUUCACCACCUUCUUACUUUGUUCAUGGCCUUAGUCCAAAGGCCAAGCCCCAACUCACUUGCUACUCUCUCUCAACACCUGUUGCAGGAUCCAUUAUUAUCUGUGGCUUACAGUCAAAGGAGCCUCUGUUUCUACUGCUGCAAAGGCAAGAGGAAAACUAAUAGAGAUAGGCCAGAAAGCCUAAAGGAAGCAGGAAAACAAAAACAAAAAACACGAAACCUUAGCACUGAAGGAGCCUAGGGCGGGAAGUCCCCGAAUUCUGUUGGCGGAACUCAA
Molecule: long non-coding RNA, 574 nt
Filed under: Rhinopithecus bieti (black snub-nosed monkey)
Lineage: Eukaryota; Metazoa; Chordata; Mammalia; Primates; Cercopithecidae
Description: lncRNA (ENSRBIG00000045154.1)
Source: RNAcentral